Molecule: transfer RNA, 72 nt
Filed under: Sphaerodactylus townsendi
Lineage: Eukaryota; Metazoa; Chordata; Lepidosauria; Squamata; Sphaerodactylidae
Description: tRNA-Ala
Source: RNAcentral
GGGGAUGUGGCUCAGUGAUAGAGCUUCCGCUUGGCAGGCAAAAGGUCCCGGGUUCUGUCCUCAGCACCUCCA